AAGACGGGAGGAAGAAGGGGGGAAUAUGGGACAAUGGGCGAAAGCCUGAUCCAGCCAUGCCGCGUGUGUGAAGAAGGCCUUCGGGUUGUAAAGCACUUUCAGUGGGGAAGAAAGCCUUGGGGCUAAUACCCUCGAGGAAGGACAUCACCCACAGAAGAAGCACCGGCUAACUCCGUGCCAGCAGCCGCGGUAAUACGGAGGGUGCGAGCGUUAAUCGGAAUUACUGGGCGUAAAGCGCGCGUAGGCGGUCUGAUAAGCCGGUUGUGAAAGCCCCGGGCUCAACCUGGGAACGGCAUCCGGAACUGUCAGGCUAGAGUGCAGGAGAGGAAGGUAGAAUUCCCGGUGUAGCGGUGAAAUGCGUAGAGAUCGGGAGGAAUACCAGUGGCGAAGGCGGCCUUCUGGACUGACACUGACGCUGAGGUGCGAAAGCGUGGGUAGCAAACAGGAUUAGAUACCCCGGUAGUC
Molecule: ribosomal RNA, 465 nt
Filed under: Vreelandella stevensii
Lineage: Bacteria; Pseudomonadati; Pseudomonadota; Gammaproteobacteria; Oceanospirillales; Halomonadaceae
Description: partial 16S ribosomal RNA
Rfam family: Bacterial small subunit ribosomal RNA
Source: RNAcentral